UGAAUUCGUAGUCAUAUGCUUGUCCCAAAGAUUAAGCCAUGCAAGUGAAAGUUCAGCCCAUAAACCGAAACUGCGAAUGGCUCAUUAUAUCAGUUAUGAUUUACUUGAAGAUCGAUUGCACAUGGAUAGCCGUGACAAAUUCAGGAGAUAAUACAUGCACGAAGUCCCAACUCACGAGUGGAUGUGCUCAUUAGAUCCAAACCUCGUCCUGCUUGCAGGCGCGGUGAGUCAUAUGCAUUAUUCGGACCGCAAAACUUUGCUAGGCGGCACUUCAUUCAAGUAACUGCCCUAUCACGUUGUCGGUAGUGUCUUGGACUACCGAGCGGAUGACGGGUAACGGGGAAUUAGAGUUCGAUUCCGGAGAAAGAGCAUGAGACACGGCUAUUACAUCCAAGGAAGGCAGCAGGCGCGCAAAUUACCCAAUGGGCAUAUGCCUGAGGUAGUGACAGUACGUAGCAAUGGGGCGCACGAGCAAUGUGACCUAAUUGAAAUGAGAAAAAACUAAAGCACUGAAUGAGGAACGAUUGGAGGGCAAGUCUGGUGCCAGCAGCCGCGGUAAUUCCAGCUCCAAGAGCGUAUAUUAGAGUUGUUGCAGUUAAAACGUGCGUAGUCGAAGCUGAGGGGUGCCGCAGCUUAGAACUCGUCCCUUGUGGGCGGGCCUCACUGUGGUGGUCCCCUUAUUCACCUGCCUGCCGACGGCGGCCUCCGGGUUUGCUUUCCCUUACAGGGUGGGCGGCAGGUGAUUUACCUCGAACAAAUGAGCGCGCUUGAGGUAGGCCAGAAUGUUGCCUGAAUCAAUUAGCAUGGAAUAGCAGAUGGACAGCGAUGUCUGUUUGUUGGUUUGAGACGUUGCUGUAAUGAUUAAUAGGGGUACUCGGGGCCAACCGUACUCUGGGGAUAGAGGUGAAAUUCUAUGACCCCCAGAAGACGACCGAAUGCGAAAGCAGUUGGCAAGGGUAUCUUCAUUGAUCAAGCACGAAGGGUGGGGGAGCAAAGCCGAUUAGACACCGUUGUAGUCCCACCAGUAAACGAUGCCGACGCGACCUUGGGUGUCUGAGGACACAGUGUUCGGGGGCGUAUAGAAAUUAGAGUCUUUGGGCUCUGGGGGGAGUAUAGUCGCAAGUCUGAAACUUAAAGGAAUUGACGG
Molecule: ribosomal RNA, 1147 nt
Filed under: Tulasnella pruinosa
Lineage: Eukaryota; Fungi; Basidiomycota; Agaricomycetes; Cantharellales; Tulasnellaceae
Description: bacterial SSU rRNA
Rfam family: Eukaryotic small subunit ribosomal RNA
Source: RNAcentral